UGCUUCCUUUCACAUUACUUAUUUUCUAGUUUUUUUAAUUAACGAGUGAAAUAAAUAAUUUCGAAAUCGAAAU
This 73-nucleotide transfer RNA is filed under the name Clitoria ternatea. RNAcentral describes it as "tRNA-Glu". Lineage: Eukaryota; Viridiplantae; Streptophyta; Magnoliopsida; Fabales; Fabaceae. The record is from RNAcentral.